This 207-nucleotide ribosomal RNA is filed under the name uncultured bacterium. Its description in RNAcentral is "partial 16S ribosomal RNA". It matches the Rfam family "Bacterial small subunit ribosomal RNA", at positions 568 to 774 of the family's 1533-position model. The record is from RNAcentral.
CGCGCAGGCGGUGAUUUAAGCAGGAUGUGAAAGUCUACGGCUCAACCGUAGACAUGCACCCUGAACUGGGUCACUUGAGUAUUGGAGAGGCAGGCAGAAUUCCUGGUGUAGCGGUGAAAUGCGUAGAUAUCAGGAGGAAUACCGGAGGCGAAGGCGGCCUGCUGGACAAAUACUGACGCUGAGGCGCGAAAGCGUGGGGAGCAAACA